RNAcentral lists this ribosomal RNA (372 nucleotides) under uncultured bacterium. RNAcentral describes it as "bacterial SSU rRNA". It matches the Rfam family "Bacterial small subunit ribosomal RNA", at positions 790 to 1167 of the family's 1533-position model. The record is from RNAcentral.
GUAGUCUUGGCCUUAAACGAUGUUCACUAGGUGUUGGGGGGUAACCCUCGGUGCCGCAGCUAACGCAUUAAGUGAACCGCCUGGGGACUACGGCCGCAAGGUUGAAACUCAAAGGAAUUGGCGGGGGACCGCACAAGCGGUGGAGCAUGUGGCUUAAUUCGAUGCAACGCGAAGAACCUUACCAGGGCUUGACAUGUAUCUGCAAGUCGCCGAAAAGCGAUCGCUUUCGAAGGUGAUACACAGGUGGUGCAUGGCUGUCGUCAGCUCGUGUUGUGAAAUGUUGGGUUAAGUCCCGCAACGAGCGCAACCCUCAUCGUUUGUUACCAGCGAGUAAAGUCGGGGACUCGAACGAAACUGCCUCUGUAAAGAGGA